GGCACGGCAGCUAGGGUCGUGGGGAGUGCUGGACGCCCAGGAGUCCAGGACCCAGAGGGCCACUGAGCGUCUCCACUUCCCCAAACCGCAGAGAAUCUGGGAUCCAGCCCCAACCCGGGACCCUGCAGCGACUCCGGAGCAGAAUUGGGGACCUGCAAACGGCGCCCAGGCCCGGUGGCUGCGCCGAGUUCCCUGUCCUGUCUGUUCCCGCGCCACGUCGUGGUGGUCGGUGCACGUUCCCUGGGGCCUCCCGAGGGCCUGCUUGGGUGGAUUCGAGCAGAGGGAUUACCUGAGACUCCCGAGGUACGGCGGGGUGCGGGCCGGGGAGAGGGUGUAGUGUUGGAGAGGGAGGCGGAGACUCAGCUCCCAGCCCCCCAAGGCCGCCGCUCCCCCGUGUCCUCAGGAGCCUGAGAACCCCCUCCCUCCUACCAGCAGCUGGAGGCUGAGUCACGCUGCUCUCAGGAGACAAAGGCAGCCUCGGGCCCUCCUUCCAGACCCCCUCCUGCUGUGGCGUUUGCACUAGCUGAAAGUCCUUCCUUCGUCCCCUCCCCAGAAUCUCCGCUCGAGGCUAAGCCUCCAUCGUGGAAGAAUGGAAGUGGGUUUAGGGACGAGGUCCUUCUAGCUUGGGAGUGGCAUCUCUGUCACAAUCAUCAUGCUCUGCCGUGGGGGUCUCAGGAGGUUGCAUGUUCCCCAGGAUGGGGAUGGGCUUGGGCCCCACUGUCCUCUCCCUGCAGCCCUGCCAACGAGGUGUAGAUGAGACAAUGGAGGCCUGGAAAGGUAGACUGGUCCCAAGACCUCAGGAAUUCUGUCCAGCCUGGGACUGGGGACACUGCGGGCAUGUUGGGGACAGCUGUAGGGAGCAGGGAGCGACUCCCCGGU
Heterocephalus glaber (naked mole-rat) is the source of this 879-nucleotide long non-coding RNA. The record is from Ensembl. NCBI's taxonomy places the organism in Eukaryota, Metazoa, Chordata, Mammalia, Rodentia, Bathyergidae.